GCCACUGCUUCCUGUCGGCAACAAAACACUCAGUUAUUCCACAAACAUCCCUUUAGCACCUACACGGUGUGCCCAGAGCACGGUUAGCUGACAAAUGGAACAUCACCUUUUCCUCAUGGAGCUCCCAGUCUGGAAGGAAGGCCCCUGACUUCCGAGUGGCGUAAUGGUCCAAAUGCAGAAGCUAUUUAUUUACCUUCCAUUUGAUAGACUGAUUUGAACACUCAUCUGUAUAUCAUCUCUCUACCUACUGGACUGUAAGCUCCACAAAUGCCCAAGCUCUGGGAACAUAGGAAGCACUGUAUUAGUGAUUGCUAUCUCUGUGAGGCCGCUGCUCUCCCGGCGCUGUGUACGGCUGAACUGGAAUAUUCGGGGGAUAAAAUCAUGGAAGACAUGGCCUCACCCAGCCUCUCUUGCAGUUUACUGUGGCUAUGAGACUGAGCUUUGGCCAACAGAACGGGCCAGAAUAUGACAGGAGCCACCCCCAUGCAUUCUUUUUUAUUCCCUGUCCUCUUCUGGAUGGCCGUGGAGGCAGCCCCAGGUGAAUACCGAAGCCACGUGUUCAAAAUGGCAGAAUCACUAUCAGCUUGGAUUCCUGAGCGAGGGUGGAGCAGGCCACACUCCACGCCACAUCGCUGGAGUGGUCCAUACUGAUCCAAUAAAGGACCAGUUCUACCAUAGUCUAGCUUAAACUAACACAUAUCUGAUCCACAUAAUGCUAAAAUUAUGAAAGCCUAUUGCCCAGAGGUAUAUUAACCUUUGAGCGCAAACUAUUUCUCUUUGAUAUAGCUCUCUCAUGCUUUUUUAUUCUGUAUGUUAACUAACUGGAAUUUAAAUAAAAACUAAAAGAAAAAAAAAGCAA
This is a long non-coding RNA of Suricata suricatta (meerkat), 859 nucleotides long. RefSeq lists it as uncharacterized. The record is from RefSeq and is a predicted model, not a curated record. The transcript has 4 exons. Lineage: Eukaryota; Metazoa; Chordata; Mammalia; Carnivora; Herpestidae.